Molecule: ribosomal RNA, 253 nt
Filed under: uncultured bacterium
Lineage: Bacteria
Description: partial 16S ribosomal RNA
Rfam family: Bacterial small subunit ribosomal RNA
Source: RNAcentral
UACGUAGGGUGCAAGCGUUGUCCGGAAUCAUUGGGCGUAAAGCGCGUGUAGGCGGCUUGUUAAGUCCGCUCUGAAAGCCCGGGGCUCAACCCCGGGAGGCGGGUGGAUACUGGCAAGCUCGAGUCCGGAAGAGGCGAGUGGAAUUCCUGGUGUAGCGGUGAAAUGCGCAGAUAUCAGGAGGAACACCAAUGGCGAAGGCAGCUCGCUGGGACGGUACUGACGCUGAGGCGCGAAAGCGUGGGGAGCAAACAGG